GGCCAUUGUUCCAUCUGGCUCAUUAUUUUCUACACUGACUGGCAGUGACGUGACGCUAGAGCAGGAGACUCUUAAUCUCAAGGUUGUGGGUUCAAGUCCCACAUUGGGCA
Non-coding RNA from Podarcis lilfordi (Lilford's wall lizard), 110 nucleotides. The record is from the annotation of a GenBank genome assembly. Lineage: Eukaryota; Metazoa; Chordata; Lepidosauria; Squamata; Lacertidae.